RNAcentral lists this ribosomal RNA (220 nucleotides) under uncultured bacterium. Its description in RNAcentral is "partial 16S ribosomal RNA". It matches the Rfam family "Bacterial small subunit ribosomal RNA", at positions 30 to 229 of the family's 1533-position model. The record is from RNAcentral.
AGCGAACGCUGGCGGCGUGCUUAACACAUGCAAGUCGCGCGGGAAAGAGACUUUCGGGUCUUGAGUAGAGCGGCGGACGGGUGCGUAAGACGCGGGUGACCUAUCCGAGAGGCGGGGAUAACCCAGCGAAAGGCGGGGACUAAUACCGGAUGAGCCCCCAGGCGGAAACGCGCGGGGGCAAAGGAUGCUACUCGAUAGUGGCAUGUCCUCGACGGAGGGG